UAAAUAAAGUAGGGGAGCUUGUGUUCAGGCUGAGAGGAAGUAUAAAGCUUCGACCCUUAUACCUGAUUUGGAUAAUGCCAACGUAGGAAAUUGUAUGUUUGAUUUA
This 106-nucleotide non-coding RNA is filed under the name Clostridium felsineum. Its description in RNAcentral is "Clostridium roseum TPP sequence". It matches the Rfam family "TPP riboswitch aptamer (THI element)". From Rfam's summary of the family: Vitamin B(1) in its active form thiamin pyrophosphate (TPP) is an essential coenzyme that is synthesised by coupling of pyrimidine and thiazole moieties in bacteria. The previously detected thiamin-regulatory element, thi box was extended, resulting in a new, highly conserved RNA secondary structure, the THI element, which is widely distributed in eubacteria and also occurs in some archaea. Analysis of operon structures identified a large number of new candidate thiamin-regulated genes, mostly transporters, in various prokaryotic organisms. The record is from RNAcentral. Lineage: Bacteria; Bacillati; Bacillota; Clostridia; Eubacteriales; Clostridiaceae.